ACGCGGUCUGUAUUCAUCUGCUGAAUCAGGUUGGCCACGACGAGGAGACGGACACGACCGCGUCGUCCCAUCGACCUCCGGGGCCUUUGAUAUCUCAGGGUGUGUGUCAUGUUAUGUUGGGUUUCCUGUGAUUUCGGUGCGGGUAGCUACAUAGCGUCCGUGGGCCAUGCGUGUGACAUGCAUGCUAGGUAAUCUUGACUCCGGUGCGACGGUGCUGGAACCGCCUCCGCUGGUUACGACCGCCGUGGCUAUGCUUGAAGGCAGAAUCACCACGAUGACUGUAGUUGCCGCACUCAGAUCAGAACGGCAGCCACGGUAUAUGAUCAAGCCUUUACUGUCGUCCUCUGAAUUUGGGAUCACGUGCAUCUGCAAGAGAAAGAGCAUGAGAGCCUAAGAGGGUAGUACCACGUUACGAACAAGUUGAUUUUUAUCCAUGGAAUUGAUCUGAUGCGAAGCUGAUGCCACAUAAAAGGUUAACUGAGUUCUUAUCUCCAAUAUGUCAUGAUGUUACAGUUCAAUUAUUUUCACCUCUCUAGCUACUAUGCACGGAAGGUGUUUGCUAAUUUGCACAAUGAUAUUUUCUGGUAAAAUACGCUAAUAUUACCUUCAUUUUUUCACAUUUUAGUGAUGUCCUCUUAUUAAUCCCUUCUAUAAUCAAAUCUGAUAUGUAUUUGUUCAUCUAGGCAUCUAGCUGCAGGUGGAAUAACAAGAUUCAGUGUGUGCAACGACAACAAUAAAUAACAUGUCAUUAGGGAGACUUCUGACAAUUGAACCCUGCAUUUUUUUGGCAUUAGUACAACUGUUCUACUGCAUUAUUCAACUAUGCGCGAUGAAGCUGAUAUAGGGUGUGGACUAGACAAUUUAUUCAGUUUUCUUCAAGAAGGACCAAGGAAUGAACACGAAGCAAAUUAUAACUCUCAGGUUCAUGGUUUAGGAGCAGGAAAGAACACUUCCAAUUGUGUAGAUGGGUCAUCAGUAGCAUUUCUCUAAUUAUUCUUAUAGAGACUGAUUUGGAUUGUUGAAGGAAAGGAUCUCAAUUCUCAAUAGCAAACUGCACUGGGACAUCUUGGACCUAUUCUCCACAUUUCUGAGCUAGAUAUGUUGGUGAGCGGG
Molecule: long non-coding RNA, 1113 nt
Organism: Triticum aestivum (bread wheat)
Lineage: Eukaryota; Viridiplantae; Streptophyta; Magnoliopsida; Poales; Poaceae
Exons: 4
Source: RefSeq, a predicted model, not a curated record